RNAcentral lists this ribosomal RNA (482 nucleotides) under uncultured bacterium. RNAcentral's name for it is "partial 16S ribosomal RNA". It matches the Rfam family "Bacterial small subunit ribosomal RNA", at positions 28 to 507 of the family's 1533-position model. The record is from RNAcentral.
GAUGAACGCUAGCGGCAGGCCUAAUACAUGCAAGUCGGACGGGAUUCAGGAGCUUGCUUCUGAUGAGAGUGGCGCACGGGUGCGUAACACGUAUGUAACCUACCUUUAUCAGGGGGAUAGCCUCUCGAAAGAGAGAUUAAGCCCGCAUAAAAUCACAGCACAGCAUUGUGUAAUGAUCAAAUAUUUAUCGGAUAAAGAUGGGCAUGCGGAACAUUAGCUAGAUGGCGGGGUAACGGCCAACCAUGGCGACGAUGUUUAGGGGAUCUGAGAGGAUGGUCCCCGACACGGGUAGUGGGACACGGACCAGGCGCCUACGGGACGCAGCAGUAAGGAAUGGUGGGCAAUGGGCGGAAGCCUGAACCAGCCAUGCCGAGUGUAGGAAGGCGGCGCUGCGGGUUGUAAGCUGCUUUUAUAGGUGAAAAACCCCAGUUACGGGUAUCUGGCUGAAUGUACUGUAAGAAUAAGCAUCGGCUAACUCCGUG